AUGGAGCACCGGAAGCAGCAGCGGAGCCCCAGUCCCCGGAGCGGCGGCAGCUCGGGCAAGCACGGCGGCAAGGGGGCCAGCAAGGCGGGCGGCAGCGGGGGCAAGAAGCCGAUCAAGGUGGUGUACAUCUCCAACCCCAUGAGGGUCAAGACCAGCGAGGCCGGCUUCCGCGCCCUCGUCCAGGAGCUCACGGGCCGCCAUGCCGACCCCUCCAAGUACAAUACCGACGACGGCCGCGCGGCGCAGGAGCUGAGCCCGGAGGGGAGCGCGGCUGGGUCGACGCCUGACGCGGGCGCCCCCGGCUCCGCCGCCGCUGGAGGGCAGCCGGAGCUCGCCGCGGCCGCGUUCGGCGACGGCGAGGAGGAGGACAUCUUCGAAUCGCAGCUGCUGGACAACGACUACGCCGUCUUCUCGCCGUCGACGUUCCUCUACGACUACCCGCACAGCAACAAGGUGUAG
Molecule: ribosomal RNA, 459 nt
Filed under: Triticum aestivum (bread wheat)
Lineage: Eukaryota; Viridiplantae; Streptophyta; Magnoliopsida; Poales; Poaceae
Description: partial small subunit ribosomal RNA
Source: RNAcentral